GCUAUUUGUUCCCUUAUUCACAAGCAGAAUCACUGGGCUGUCUGCAGAGCCCAUAUAUGCUACUACAAAGUUUCAGCAUGCAACAGUCCUAAAAACAUAAUGUCCACAGGGAGUGAACACUGCAUUUCGACUGUAUACAGCCUGACUAGGACCACAGACUAGCUCAUCAUCUGCAAAAUAGAUCACUCAUCAUCUGCAAAGAACUUGGAGAACCUGAAGCGACAUACACAGGAAAAUUGCCAGUCCUCUGUUCAGUGACCCAAGGAGAUGCAUCGGAAGAGGGUCACAUGGGUGUGAGGAAAAGGUUCAUCACCAGACAAUGGUGGACAUGGAGCAGGCUGCCCAGGGCAGCAGUCACGGCAUCAAGCUUCUGGAUUUCAAGGGAACUCAGACAACGCCCUUAGAAUUAUGAUUUGAACAGUGGAUGAUCUUACAUGGAGCCAGGAGUUGGACAAAAUCCUUGUGGGUCUUUUCCAGCUCAGAAUAUUGUAUGAUUCUAUGGUCGCAAUAACAGAUGCAAUACUGCAGAACAUGACUAUAAUGAAGUAUCAUCAGUAUGAGCUACGAGG
Molecule: long non-coding RNA, 569 nt
Organism: Gallus gallus (chicken)
Lineage: Eukaryota; Metazoa; Chordata; Aves; Galliformes; Phasianidae
Source: Ensembl